GUUAUCAGCAGCACAUCCCACAUGCUGAGAGGUUCCACUGCUUCCCUCCCAGCACAGCAGAAAAUAAAAGCAAAGCCUAGAACUUCCAGACUUGAAUGGCUGACAUUAAAGUAAUUAAACUUGAA
Molecule: long non-coding RNA, 125 nt
Organism: Passer domesticus (house sparrow)
Lineage: Eukaryota; Metazoa; Chordata; Aves; Passeriformes; Passeridae
Exons: 2
Source: RefSeq, a predicted model, not a curated record